RNAcentral lists this long non-coding RNA (1308 nucleotides) under Numida meleagris (helmeted guineafowl). RNAcentral describes it as "lncRNA (ENSNMEG00000001525.1)". The record is from RNAcentral. Lineage: Eukaryota; Metazoa; Chordata; Aves; Galliformes; Numididae.
GGCCACCACGUCCCCAUGGCCACCAUGACCCCAAGGCCACCACAUCCCCAAGGCCACCACGUCCCUUGUCCCCGAGCCCGGUCACGUGGCACACACAGGUUUGGGGGGAAGCGCCUUUAUUCCAUGCAUCAGAGGGGGACAAGGGACGGGGGUGGGGGGUGGGGACAUCCCAAAGAGGACAGGGACGGGACAGGGAGGUUUGGGGACACCUGGGGAAGUUGGGGACAUCCCAAGGGGGACAACAACGGGAUGAAGAGGUUUGGGGUCACCCCAAGAAGGAAGGGAUGAGAUUUGGGGUCAUCCCGAGGAGCAGAAGAACGGGACGAGGAGGUUUGGGGUCACCACAAGAAGGACAGGAUGAGAUUUGGGGUCACCCCAAGAAGGACGGGAUGAGAUUUGGGGUCACCCCAAGAAGGACGGGAUGAGAUUUGGGGUCACCCCAAGAAGGACAGGAUGAGAUUUGGGGUCAUCUCUUGGAGGAGAAGGAUGGGAUGAAGAGGUUUGGGGUCAUCCCAAUGUGGGUGGGAUGAGAUUUGGGGUCAUCCCAUGGAGGAGAAGGACGGGAUGAGGAGGUUUGGGGUCACCCCAAGGGGGACAAGAAUGGGAUGAAGAGGUUUGGGGUCAUCGCAAGAAGGAAGGGAUGAGAUUUAGGGUCAUCCCAAGGAGAAGAAGGAUGGGAUGAAGAGGUUUGGGGUCACCUGGGGAGGUUGGGGACAUCCCAAGGGGGACAACAGCAGGACAAAGAGGUGUGGGGUCACCCCAAAAAGGAUGGGGUGGGGAGAUUUGGGGUCAUCCCGAGGAGAAGAAGGAUGGGAGAAAGAGUUGUGGGGUCAUCCCAAGGUGGAUGGGAUGAGAUUUGGGGUCAUGCCAUGGGGGAGAAGGAUGGGACGAAGAGGUUUGGGGUCACCCCAAGAAGGACGGGAUGAGAUUUGGGGUCAUCCCAUGGAGGAGAAGUUUGGGAUGAGAUUUGGGGUCAUCCCACGGCGGAGAAGGACGGGACGAGGAGAUUUGGGGUCACCCCAAGAAGGACGGGAUGAGGAGGUUUGGGGUCACCCCAAGAAGGACGGGACGAGAUUUGGGGUCACCCCAAGAAGGAUGGGACGAGGAGAUUUGGGGUCACCCCAAGAAGGACAGGAUGAGAUUUGGGGUCAUCCCAUGGCGGAGAAGGACGGGAUGAAGACAUUUGGGGUCACCCCAAGAAGGACGGGAUGAGAUUUGGGGUCAUCCCAUGGCGGAAAAGGGCGGGCUGAGAUUUGGGGUCACCCCAAGAAGGAUGGGAUGAGAUUUGGGGUCAUCCCAUGGCGGAGA